Carcharodon carcharias (great white shark) is the source of this 484-nucleotide long non-coding RNA. RefSeq lists it as uncharacterized. The transcript has 3 exons. The record is from RefSeq and is a predicted model, not a curated record. NCBI's taxonomy places the organism in Eukaryota, Metazoa, Chordata, Chondrichthyes, Lamniformes, Lamnidae.
CUGACCUGAUUAAAGUCAUCUUCAUAAAAGAGUUUUACACUUUGUUCACCAAUAGGAACUGUCCAGACAAAAGUGGGGUGUUGAAGGGGUGAUUAAGCAUUAAAAUGAAAACUGCAUAUUUAACAGGAUCUUGGCAUGGAUGGCCCAUUGGCUCAGUCCAUCCUGACGGUUGAUGAUGGCCAUUGGAAGAGAAUUCGAAGUGUGCUUUCACCAAGCUUCACCAGUGGGAGACUGAAAGAGGUAACGGAGCUCCACCCCACUCCCCAGUAGAUCAACUCCUUUGUCUGUGCCUGGACCUGUGAUGUGUAAGACGAGUUCAUCUUCUUAUGAAGGUGAGCAUGUAGAUGCUGAUACAUUUGGCGAAACUAUAAUAUAACUCAAAACACAAAGGAAAUAAGACUUUGAAAUGCAACAUGUUAACAUGUACAAGCUCCCAGACUCCAUCUUGCCUCCACUUGAGUGUGCUCUGUUCCACUGUGAGAAG